This 236-nucleotide non-coding RNA is filed under the name Marchantia polymorpha subsp. ruderalis. RNAcentral's name for it is "Eukaryotic large subunit ribosomal RNA". It matches the Rfam family "Eukaryotic large subunit ribosomal RNA", at positions 1925 to 2099 of the family's 3401-position model. The record is from Rfam by way of RNAcentral. Lineage: Eukaryota; Viridiplantae; Streptophyta; Marchantiopsida; Marchantiales; Marchantiaceae.
GAUCCGUAACUUCGGGAAAAGGAUUGGCUCUGAGGGUCGGGUUCGGGGGUCUGCGUCCAGACCUCGGCGGGCUGUCGGCGGUCUGCCCGAGCUGCUCGCGCGGCGAGGGCGGACUGUUGCGUGCCUGUCGGGCGAAGGGCGUAGAAUGCCGGUGCCUCUUUGGGGGCUCCCUUCGCGAGGGGUCUCUUUGGAAACGUCCUUCCCUGGCACUAAUUCAAAUUCCUUAGAAUUUUUAG